GCGGGUUAGAGUAACGGCAACUCAUCACUUUGACUUGGUGAAGUAGCAAGUUCGAUUCUUGCACCCGCUA
Molecule: transfer RNA, 70 nt
Filed under: Prevotellaceae bacterium
Lineage: Bacteria; Pseudomonadati; Bacteroidota; Bacteroidia; Bacteroidales; Prevotellaceae
Description: tRNA-Val
Rfam family: tRNA
About the family: Transfer RNA (tRNA) molecules are approximately 80 nucleotides in length. Their secondary structure includes four short double-helical elements and three loops (D, anti-codon, and T loops).
Source: RNAcentral